GAUGAAGAACGCAGCGAAAUGCGAUAAGUAAUGCGAAUUGCAGAAUUCAGUGAGUCAUCGAAUCUUUGAACGCACAUUGCGCCCCUUGGUAUUCCAUGGGGCAUGCCUGUUCGAGCGUCAUUUGUACCUUCAAGCUCUGCUUGGUGUUGGGUGUUUGUCUCGCCUCUGCGUGUAGACUCGCCUCAAAAUAAUUGGCAGCCGGCGUAUUGAUUUCGGAGCGCAGUACAUCUCGCGCUUUGCACUCAUAACGACGACGUCCAAAAGUACAUUUUUACACUCUUGACCUCGGAUCAGGUAGGGAUACCCGCUGAACUUAAGCAUAUCAAUAAGCGGAGGA
This 337-nucleotide unclassified non-coding RNA is filed under the name soil metagenome. RNAcentral's name for it is "partial contains 5.8S ribosomal RNA, internal transcribed spacer 2, and large subunit ribosomal RNA". The stretch from base 1 to 120 matches the Rfam family "5.8S ribosomal RNA", at positions 35 to 154 of the family's 154-position model. The record is from RNAcentral.